GACGAACGCUGGCGGCGCGCUUAACACAUGCAAGUCGAACGGAAAGGCCUGCUUUCCCUUGUGGAUUGCGGGUACUCGAGUGGCGAACGGGUGAGUAACACGUGAGUGAUCUGCCCCCAACUUGGGUAUAAGCCUGGGAAACUGGGUCUAAUUCCCGAUAGGACUGCAGGGUGGUGCCUGUGGUGGAAAACGAUUUUCUAGUGGUUGGGGAUGAGCUCGCGGCCUAUCAGCUUGUUGGUGGGGUAAUGGUCUACCAAGGCGGCGACGGGUAGCCGGCCUGGGAGGGUGGACGGCCACAGUGGGACUGAGAUACGGGCCAGACUCCUACGGGAGGCAGCAGUGGGGAAUAUUGCGCGAUGGGCGGAAGCCUGAUGCAGCGACGCCGCGUGGGGGAUGACGGCCUUCGGGUUGUAAACUCCUUUCGACCGCGAGGAAGCCACCUGGUUGGAAGGGUGGUGACGGUAGUGGUAGAAGAAGCACCGGCUAACUACGUG
Molecule: ribosomal RNA, 494 nt
Filed under: uncultured bacterium
Lineage: Bacteria
Description: partial 16S ribosomal RNA
Rfam family: Bacterial small subunit ribosomal RNA
Source: RNAcentral